GACGAACGCUGGCGGUGUGCUUAACACAUGCAAGUCGAACGGAAAGGCCCUGCUUUUGUGGGGUGCUCGAGUGGCGAACGGGUGAGUAACACGUGAGUAACCUGCCCUUGACUUUGGGAUAACUUCAGGAAACUGGGGCUAAUACCGGAUAGGAGCUCCUGCUGCAUGGUGGGGGUUGGAAAGUUUCGGCGGUUGGGGAUGGACUCGCGGCUUAUCAGCUUGUUGGGGGGGUAGUGGCUUACCAAGGCUUUGACGGGUAGCCGGCCUGAGAGGGUGCCCGGCCACAUUGGGACUGAGAUACGGCCCAUACUCAUGCGGGAGGCAGCAGUGGGGGAUAUUGCGCAAUGGACGGAAGCCUGAUGCAGCGACGCCGCGUGCAGGAUGACGGCCUUAGGGUUGUAAACCGCUUUCGCCUGUGACGAAGCGUGAGUGACGGUAAUGGGUAAAGAAGCACCGGCUAACUACGUG
Molecule: ribosomal RNA, 468 nt
Filed under: uncultured bacterium
Lineage: Bacteria
Description: partial 16S ribosomal RNA
Rfam family: Bacterial small subunit ribosomal RNA
Source: RNAcentral